CCUACGGGAGGCAGCAGUGAGGAAUAUUGGUCAAUGGACGAGAGUCUGAACCAGCCAAGUAGCGUGAAGGAUGACUGCCCUAUGGGUUGUAAACUUCUUUUAUAUGGGAGUAAAAUGUUCCACGUGUGGGAUUUUGUAUGUACCAUAUGAAUUAGGAACGGCUAACUCCGUGCCAGCAGCCGCGGUAAUACGGAGGAUCCGAGCGUUAUCAGGAUUUAUUGGGUUUAAAGGGAGCGUAGGUGGAUUGUUAAGUCAGUUGUGAAAGUUUGCGGCUCAACCGGAAAAUUGCAGUUGAAACUGGCAGUCUUGAGUACAGUAGAGGUGGGCGGAAUUCGUGGUGUAGCGGUGAAAUGCUUAGAUAUCACGAAGAACUCCGAUUGCGAAGGCAGUUCACUGGACUGCAACUGACACUGAGGCUCGAAAGUGUGGGUAUCAAACAGGAUUAGAUACCCGAGUAGUC
This 460-nucleotide ribosomal RNA is filed under the name uncultured bacterium. RNAcentral describes it as "partial 16S ribosomal RNA". It matches the Rfam family "Bacterial small subunit ribosomal RNA", at positions 338 to 795 of the family's 1533-position model. The record is from RNAcentral.